Molecule: non-coding RNA, 72 nt
Organism: Heterocephalus glaber (naked mole-rat)
Lineage: Eukaryota; Metazoa; Chordata; Mammalia; Rodentia; Bathyergidae
Source: Rfam
GGGGAUGUGGCUCAAUGGUAGAGCAAUUGCCUAGCAUGCUUUAGGCCCUGGGUUCAAUCCCCAGCACUACAA